UCGAGGGGUAUUUAUCUUCGGAUAGAGAGACCGGCGCACGGGUGCGUAACGCGUAUGCAAUCUACCUUUUACAGAGGGAUAGCCCAGAGAAAUUUGGAUUAAUACCUCAUAGUAUAAUGACUCGGCAUCGAGAUAUUAUUAAAGUCACAACGGUAAAAGAUGAGCAUGCGUCCCAUUAGCUAGUUGGUAAGGUAACGGCUUACCAAGGCUACGAUGGGUAGGGGUCCUGAGAGGGAGAUCCCCCACACUGGUACUGAGACACGGACCAGACUCCUACGGGAGGCAGCAGUGAGGAAUAUUGGACAAUGGGCGCAAGCCUGAUCCAGCCAUGCCGCGUGCAGGAUGACGGUCCUAUGGAUUGUAAACUGCUUUUAUACGAGAAGAAACACUGCUUCGUGAAGCAGCUUGACGGUAUCGUAAGAAUAAGGAUCGGCUAACUCCGUGCCAGCAGCCGCGGUAAUACGGAGGAUCCAAGCGUUAUCCGGAAUCAUUGGGUUUAAAGGGUCCGUAGGCGGUUUAAUAAGUCAGUGGUGAAAGCCCAUCGCUCAACGGUGGAACGGCCAUUGAUACUGUUAAACUUGAAUUAUUAGGAAGUAACUAGAAUAUGUAGUGUAGCGGUGAAAUGCUUAGAGAUUACAUGGAAUACCAAUUGCGAAGGCAGGUUACUACUAAUGGAUUGACGCUGAUGGACGAAAGCGUGGGUAGCGAACAGGAUUAGAUACCCUGGUAGUCCACGCCGUANACGAUGGAUACUAGCUGUUGGAANCAAUUUCAGUGGCUAAGCGAAAGUGAUAAGUAUCC
This 801-nucleotide ribosomal RNA is filed under the name uncultured Bacteroidota bacterium. RNAcentral's name for it is "bacterial SSU rRNA". It matches the Rfam family "Bacterial small subunit ribosomal RNA", at positions 62 to 869 of the family's 1533-position model. The record is from RNAcentral. Lineage: Bacteria; Pseudomonadati; Bacteroidota.